Molecule: ribosomal RNA, 253 nt
Filed under: uncultured bacterium
Lineage: Bacteria
Description: partial 16S ribosomal RNA
Rfam family: Bacterial small subunit ribosomal RNA
Source: RNAcentral
UACAGAGGUCUCAAGCGUUGUUCGGAAUUAUUGGGCGUAAAGCGCACGUAGGCGGCUUUGCAAGUCGGAUGUGAAAGCCCUCGGCUCAACCAAGGAAGUGCAUCCGAAACUGCAGAGCUUGAGUACUUAAGAGGAUCGCGGAAUUCCCGGUGUAGAGGUGAAAUUCGUAGAUAUCGGGAGGAACACCAGUGGCGAAGGCGGCGAUCUGGGAAGAUACUGACGCUGAGGUGCGAAAGCGUGGGGAGCAAACAGG